This 970-nucleotide long non-coding RNA is filed under the name Brassica napus (rape). RNAcentral's name for it is "long non-coding RNA (BNAP_LNC016870)". Lineage: Eukaryota; Viridiplantae; Streptophyta; Magnoliopsida; Brassicales; Brassicaceae. The record is from RNAcentral.
ACUGUUGGAACAUAUCCUGUAAUAACAAGGACAACAUUCACCAACAAAAGCCAAUAAAAAGACAGUUCACUAGAGAGAGAGAGAGAUGGAUAUAGUUGGAGAAGUGUUGCAAGAGUACUUGAGUAGGAGAUAAGAAGACAAGUUUAGCCCACAACUCCAACACAAACAGUGACGCACUUUAUAGCUGCUGUUGUUGUUGAUACUGAUGCCGCAGCCAAAGAAGCUGACAUUUGAUUGAAAUAUGAGAAUGGUACUUUGAGUUAGCUUCGCUUUCACUUUUUGUACUCAUGGUUAAGUAUAUAAGGAAACUGAGACUUAGAUGAAAAGCUGCAAAAUUUUAAAAUCUUAGAAAAAAGAGUAAACUUUAAUUUCAGAGGCAAAACUAUUUGAAUGCAUAUACUUAAUUCAUCUUAAUUGUAAUAUCGUAAUAAAUCAAGUUUUUAAAAAACUUUAUUUCAUAUUUUUUGAAACCUCCUAUAGUGAAUAGCAUAGAGAAAUAAGCACGGAGACCAUAGCUUUAAAACCGAUAUGUCAUACCGGCAACAACGGAGUAAGCUGAUAAGCGACUCUAAGAACGCCAAUAAACAAGGAGCGAAUCGAUUCAACCCGGCCAAAACUAAUCCCACGAAACAGAUUAGUGAAGGAACGAAACCGAGGAGAAUUCAAAGGCGAACACCAAGGAGUCCGGAGACAUGCAAGCUUAGAGAGGAGUCACAAUCACAACCGCUCAAUCGAAGCUGACUACGAAUCAGAGAACAUGCAGACAGAUCUAGAACAGAGGAAGCAAAACCAAGGCAAAAGAGAAACCUUGAUAUGAAAAAGAACAGAACACAACUAGAUCUGAAGAGAAAACUCGCGUGCACCAAUUCAUCCUUGAAGCUUGAUCCUUCGCACCACCGAAAACACAAACUAAAGCUUAAAUGAGAGGAGAAACCAGUUCCGGUAAUUGAGAAAGCCACCGGAGCCAGUC